UGGGGAAUUUUGGACAAUGGGGGAAACCCUGAUCCAGCCAUCCCGCGUGUGCGAUGAAGGCCUUCGGGUUGUAAAGCACUUUUGGCAGGAAAGAAACGUCAUGGGUUAAUACCCCGUGAAACUGACGGUACCAGCAGAAUAAGCACCGGCUAACUACGUGCCAGCAGCCGCGGUAAUACGUAGGGUGCAAGCGUUAAUCGGAAUUACUGGGCGUAAAGCGUGCGCAGGCGGUUCGGAAAGAAAGAUGUGAAAUCCCAGAGCUCAACUUUGGAACUGCAUUUUUAACUACCGGGCUAGAGUGUGUCAGAGGGAGGUGGAAUUCCGCGUGUAGCAGUGAAAUGCGUAGAUAUGCGGAGGAACACCGAUGGCGAAGGCAGCCUCCUGGGAUAACACUGACGCUCAUGCACGAAAGCGUGGGGAGCAAACAGG
Molecule: ribosomal RNA, 429 nt
Filed under: Acidobacteriota bacterium
Lineage: Bacteria; Pseudomonadati; Acidobacteriota
Description: Acidobacteria bacterium partial 16S ribosomal RNA
Rfam family: Bacterial small subunit ribosomal RNA
Source: RNAcentral